Gekko japonicus is the source of this 1255-nucleotide RNA transcript. It is a transcript of the gene named WD repeat domain 83, with no coding region annotated. Lineage: Eukaryota; Metazoa; Chordata; Lepidosauria; Squamata; Gekkonidae. The transcript is spliced from 7 exons. The record is from RefSeq and is a predicted model, not a curated record.
AACUACCAGAAGCAAAACAUUCCUAACCCUUCAAUCCAGUUUGGGAUAUUCCUGGUUCAUGAAACUUUACAGUGGAUGUUGCUGUGUCAUCAAAUGUAUGGGAGCAUCACUCACAGCAUAUGUGUGAAACACAUUACUUCAUGAUGGCUUUUCCAGAGCCAAAACCAAAGAAACCUGAACUGCCUAAGAAACUGCUGGGCACAUUGCAAUGUAAACAGGGAGCUGUCAGAGCUGUAAGGUUCAAUGUGGAUGGGAAUUACUGUCUCACUUGUGGCAGUGACAAGUCACUCAAGCUCUGGCACCCCCACAAAGGGACUCUCCUCAAGACAUACAGUGGCCAUGGCUAUGAGGUACUGGAUGCAGCAGGGUCAUUUGACAACAGCCAGCUUUGCUCAUGCGGAUCAGACAAGACUGUUGUGCUAUGGGAUGUGGCAAGAGGGCAGGUGAUUCGCAAGUUCCGUGCCCAUGCAGGGAAGGUAAACUGUGUCCAGUUCAGUGAAGAGGCUAUGAUCUUGUCAGGAUCUAUUGACUCCAGUAUUCGCUGCUGGGACUGUCGUUCACGCAGACCAGAUUCCAUCCAGAUACUUGAUGAGGCCAAAGAUGGCAUCUCCAGUCUGAAAGUGUCAGAUCAUGAAAUCCUUACAGGUUCUGUAGAUGGACGUGUCCGACGUUAUGACUUACGCGCUGGAGAGCUGUGCUCAGACUAUAUGGGAAGUGAGUGUGCCGAACUCCAUCUGCAAAUCUGGUGCCUUGUUAGGCGUCUCUGACUCUCCAUGUUGUAGAAUUGACACUGGCCAUUUCUGUUCAAUAGACUUGGUACAGAUUCAGCUUGAAGGAUUGUUGUGAAGCCACAUCUUUGAUCUUCGGUCACAUGUUGUUCAUCGACUCCAGUGGCAGGGCAGAAUGCAGCUGACUUGAUCCCUGCAAGUUGCUAUCCCUGUCUGUCUCCCUUUGGAAUUGUCAGCAUUGGGCAAAAUGCCAUCACAGUCCUAGGAGCACAUUACAAAGACUUUGCUCAUCCUCUUGCUCCUCCCUACACACACACUUGAAAUGAUGGAAUCCAGCACUGCUAUCUUAUUACUACAGGUCCCAUCACGUGCGUUUGUUUCAGCAAAGAUGGACAAUGUAUGCUGGCUGCUAGUUUGGACUCCACGCUACACUUGUUGGACAAGGACACAGGCGAGAUGCUGGGAGAGGAUCCCUGGCUACGAGCUCACCUGUGAGUAACAGUGCUGUCCAGUCUCUGUCCUUCCAC